Long non-coding RNA from Saimiri boliviensis boliviensis (Bolivian squirrel monkey), 649 nucleotides. RefSeq lists it as uncharacterized. Lineage: Eukaryota; Metazoa; Chordata; Mammalia; Primates; Cebidae. The record is from RefSeq and is a predicted model, not a curated record.
CAUCCUGAUUUUUCCCGCGUUGUCUGCCACGCCUCCGCAGCCACUCGACGCCAGGGCGCCGGGAGUGUCACACGACUGCUGCCCCAUGCAUGUGAGAUAAGUCCUCUGGCAUGUCAUGGAUCCUGAGGUUCCAGGAUUGUCAGCUGACCUCUGUCCUGUGUGCCCAGCGGCCCCAGCGGCCCCAGGUGAUGUGUCUUCAAGAAAAGGCUGAACUGUGGUGCUUGUAAGAUGGGCCUGCUGUGUGCAGAGGCUCCGUGGGAUGUGUUGUCUUCAUAGCAGCAGGGCGCUGGACCAUGGGUCCCUGAGGUCUCAGCCGUAGAUCCAAGGAUGGUCCAAGGAAGUCCUAAGACCCUGGAGUUCUGGGUUUGCUGAUACUUCUCACCAUGAAUCUCUUGGUGGUGUUUGUGGACACCAGAGGGGCAGAGACUAGUGAGACCACCACAUGAAGCAUUUCCAGAGCUGCUCCCUGCUGCCUGCUCAGAGCAGCCUGGAUCCACUAUUCACUUUGCACAAGAUUCCAGGUCCAGACAUGGAAGACUUCAGCUGCCUCAGAGGACUGUGGACAGGGAAGGCCUGCCCCGCAUCCCCCUGUCCAUUCCUGGAGAUCUACCUGCCUCAGCCUCCCAAAGUGUUGGGAUUACAGAUGUGA